Non-coding RNA from Pelobates cultripes (western spadefoot toad), 266 nucleotides. The record is from the annotation of a GenBank genome assembly. Lineage: Eukaryota; Metazoa; Chordata; Amphibia; Anura; Pelobatidae.
AGUCACUAACCUGACGAAUGAAAGCAAUAUUUGCUUGCCUAUAUUUAGAGGGUCGAGCAUCAAAUGAGGAACAUGCCCCACACAAACAUACUAAAUAUUGUCCUGCAAGCAAUUACUAAAAAUGCUCUCUUGUGCUGUAUUUAUGCAAAUAACAUGUACGCUAAAUAAGCCUUAAAUUGAUAUUGGAAUGUAAGUGCCUUGAAGUUUUGGGAAACUCCCAAUAUACUGUUUUGAAGACUGACAUAUGUUGUAACAACUAAUAAUGC